UGAAUACGAGAUGCUACGGUGUCGAAGCAGUGUAUGUCAGACUUCCAAGAAAAGCUCGCAAUGUCAUAAAUAAAGAAUGCCUGUACCAUAACCGACACAGGUGGGUAGGUAGAGUAUACUAAGGGGCGCGAGAUAACUCUCUCUAAGGAACUCGGCAAAAUAACUCCGUAACUUCGGGAGAAGGAGUGCCUUCUUUAAGAAGGUUGCAAUAACAAGAUCCAAGCAACUGUUUAUCAAAAACACAGGUCUCCGCUAAGUCGUAAGACGAUGUAUGGGGGCUGACGCCUGCCCAGUGCCAGAAGGUUAAAGAAGCUGGUUAGCAAUAGCGAAGCUGGUGACUGAAGCCCUGGUGAACGGCGGCCGUAACAAUAACGGUCCUAAGGUAGCGAAAUUCCUUGUCGGGUAAGUUCCGACCCGCACGAAAGGCGUAAUGAUUUGGAUACUGUCUCGGAGAGGGACUCGGUGAAAUAGACUUGUCUGUGAAGAUGCGGACUACCUGCACCAGGACAGAAAGACCCUAUGAAGCUUUACUGUAACCUGAAAUUGAAAUUGGACUUUAUUUGCGCAGUAUAGGUGGGAGGCGUUGAAAGUAAUCUUGCGGGAUUAGUGGAGCCAUCAGUGAGAUACCACUCCUAUAAUGUUAGAUUUCUAACUUUGGAUCAUGAUCUGGUCAAAGAACAGUUUCAGGCGGGCAGUUUGACUGGGGCGGUCGCCCCCCAAAUGGUAACGGAGGCGUACAAAGGUUUCCUCUGAACGGGUAGAAAUCGUAUCUAGAGUGUAAAGGCAUAAGGAAGCUUGACUGUGAGACCUACAAGUCGAGCAGGGACGAAAGUCGGUCUUAGUGAUCUGACGGUGCUGAGUGGAAAGGCCGUCACUCAACGGAUAAAAGUUACUCUAAGGAUAACAGGCUGAUCUCCCCCAAGAGUUCACAUCGACGGGGAGGUUUGGCACCUUGAUGUCGGCUCAUCGCAUCCUGGGGCGGUAGUACGUCCCAAGGGUUGGGCUGUUCGCCCAUGAAAGCGGUACGCGAGCUGGGUUCAGAACGUCGUGAGACAGUUCGGUCCAUAUCCGGUGUAGGCGUUAGAAUAUUGAGAGGAGCCUUCUCUAGUACGAGAGGACCGAGAAGGACAUACCUCUGGUGUACCAGUUAUCGUGCCAACGGUAAACGCUGGGUAGCUAUGUAUGGAGAGGAUAACCGCUGAAAGCAUCUAAGUGGGAAGCCCACCUCAAGAUGAGUAUUCACAUC
This 1246-nucleotide ribosomal RNA is filed under the name metagenome. RNAcentral's name for it is "bacterial LSU rRNA". It matches the Rfam family "Bacterial large subunit ribosomal RNA", at positions 1564 to 2818 of the family's 2925-position model. The record is from RNAcentral.